AGCAGCUUGGCGCAGUGGAAGCGCGGUAUGUCUUGUUCAAAUGUCGAUUUUCAUUCAAUUACUAACCCCUCUCAGCCGGGCUCAUAACCCGGAGGUCACUGGAUCGAAACCAGUAGCUGCUA
Fusarium venenatum is the source of this 122-nucleotide non-coding RNA. The record is from the annotation of a RefSeq genome assembly. Lineage: Eukaryota; Fungi; Ascomycota; Sordariomycetes; Hypocreales; Nectriaceae.